RNAcentral lists this ribosomal RNA (254 nucleotides) under uncultured bacterium. RNAcentral's name for it is "partial 16S ribosomal RNA". It matches the Rfam family "Bacterial small subunit ribosomal RNA", at positions 524 to 776 of the family's 1533-position model. The record is from RNAcentral.
UACGUAGGGGGCAAGCGUUGUCCGGAAUCAUUGGGCGUAAAGAGCGUGUAGGCGGCCUGGUAAGUCCGCUGUGAAAGUCCAGGGCUCAACCCUGGAAUGCCGGUGGAAACUGUCAGGCUCGAGUCCGGAAGAGGCGAGUGGAAUUCCUGGUGUAGCGGUGAAAUGCGCAGAUAUCAGGAGGAACACCAAUGGCGAAGGCAGCUCGCUGGGACGGUACUGACGCUGGAGACGCGAAAGCGUGGGGAGCAAACAGG